UACGUAGGGGGCAAACGUUGCUCGGAAUUACUGGGCGUAAAGGGUGUGUAGGCGGCUGGGCAAGUCAGAGAUGAAAUCCCGAGGCUCAACUUCGGAACCGUCUUUGAAACUGCCUAGCUUGAGGAUAGUUGAUGAAAAGGGAAUUCCCGGUGGAGCGGUGAAAUGCGUAGAUAUCGGGAGGAACACCUGAGGCGAAGGCGCUUUUCAAAACUACUCCUGACGCUGAGACACGAAAGCUAGGGGAG
Molecule: ribosomal RNA, 245 nt
Filed under: uncultured bacterium
Lineage: Bacteria
Description: partial 16S ribosomal RNA
Rfam family: Bacterial small subunit ribosomal RNA
Source: RNAcentral